Molecule: ribosomal RNA, 535 nt
Filed under: Hanseniaspora uvarum
Lineage: Eukaryota; Fungi; Ascomycota; Saccharomycetes; Saccharomycodales; Saccharomycodaceae
Description: partial large subunit ribosomal RNA
Rfam family: Eukaryotic large subunit ribosomal RNA
Source: RNAcentral
AAACCAACUGGGAUUACCUUAGUAACGGCGAGUGAAGCGGUAAAAGCUCAAAUUUGAAAUCUGGUACUUUCAGUGCCCGAGUUGUAAUUUGUAGAAUUUGUCUUUGAUUAGGUCCUUGUCUAUGUUCCUUGGAACAGGACGUCAUAGAGGGUGAGAAUCCCGUUUGGCGAGGAUACCUUUUCUCUGUAAGACUUUUUCGAAGAGUCGAGUUGUUUGGGAAUGCAGCUCAAAGUGGGUGGUAAAUUCCAUCUAAAGCUAAAUAUUGGCGAGAGACCGAUAGCGAACAAGUACAGUGAUGGAAAGAUGAAAAGAACUUUGAAAAGAGAGUGAAAAAGUACGUGAAAUUGUUGAAAGGGAAGGGCAUUUGAUCAGACAUGGUGUUUUUUGCAUGCACUCGCCUCUCGUGGGCUUGGGCCUCUCAAAAAUUUCACUGGGCCAACAUCAAUUCUGGCAGCAGGAUAAAUCAUUAAGAAUGUAGCUACUUCGGUAGUGUUAUAGCUUUUUGGAAUACUGUUAGCCGGGAUUGAGGACUGCG